CCUACGGUGGGCUGCAGUGGGGAAUAUUGGACAAUGGGCGAAAGCCUGAUCCAGCCAUGCCGCGUGUGUGAAGAAGGCCUUCGGGUUGUAAAGCACUUUCAGUGGGGAAGAAAGCCUUGGGGCUAAUACCCUCGAGGAAGGACAUCACCCACAGAAGAAGCACCGGCUAACUCCGUGCCAGCAGCCGCGGUAAUACGGAGGGUGCGAGCGUUAAUCGGAAUUACUGGGCGUAAAGCGCGCGUAGGCGGUCUGAUAAGCCGGUUGUGAAAGCCCCGGGCUCAACCUGGGAACGGCAUCCGGAACUGUCAGGCUAGAGUGCAGGAGAGGAAGGGAGAAUUCCCGGUGUAGCGGUGAAAUGCGUAGAGAUCGGGAGGAAUACCAGUGGCGAAGGCGGCCUUCUGGACUGACACUGACGCUGAGGUGCGAAAGCGUGGGUAGCAAACAGGAUUAGAUACCCGAGUAGUC
RNAcentral lists this ribosomal RNA (465 nucleotides) under Vreelandella stevensii. RNAcentral describes it as "partial 16S ribosomal RNA". It matches the Rfam family "Bacterial small subunit ribosomal RNA", at positions 338 to 795 of the family's 1533-position model. The record is from RNAcentral. Lineage: Bacteria; Pseudomonadati; Pseudomonadota; Gammaproteobacteria; Oceanospirillales; Halomonadaceae.